GUCCACGCCGUAAACGAUGGGUACUAGAUGCUUGGGGGAGCGACCCUCUGAGUGUCGGCGCUAACGCAUUAAGUACCCCGCCUGGGGAGUACGGCCGCAAGGCUGAAACUCAAAGGAAUUGACGGGGGCCCGCACAAGCGGUGGAGCAUGUGGUUUAAUUCGACGCAACGCGAAGAACCUUACCUAGGCUUGACAUGCAUGGGAAAGCUCUGAGAAACCAGGGCCCCUCUUCGGAGUCCAUGCACAGGUGCUGCAUGGCUGUCGU
RNAcentral lists this ribosomal RNA (265 nucleotides) under uncultured bacterium. RNAcentral's name for it is "partial 16S ribosomal RNA". It matches the Rfam family "Bacterial small subunit ribosomal RNA", at positions 793 to 1055 of the family's 1533-position model. The record is from RNAcentral.